Molecule: non-coding RNA, 125 nt
Organism: Triticum aestivum (bread wheat)
Lineage: Eukaryota; Viridiplantae; Streptophyta; Magnoliopsida; Poales; Poaceae
Source: Rfam
UUAUUACUCCCUCCGUCCCGAAAUACUUGUUGGGAAAAUGGAUAAAAUUGGAUGCAUCUAUAACUAAAAUAUGUCUAGAUUCAUCCAUUUCUCCGACAAGUAUUUUCGGACAGAGGGAGUAUGUU